CACAUCUCCAUUAUUUCGGUGAAGUCAUAGUCCUGUAACUGCACAUAGACUUCUAAUUCCUCCUGUUUGUUCUUCAGGCCACAGCCUGUACUAGUGUACGUACAUUCAAGUGUGCUGAUUUCCCAUGAAGGGAAUAAAAGGUUCCCUCAUAAGACUGUGGGGCAAGCACUUCCUUACUUACAUCCUUGUGUUUCUGGUGAUCCCACUUCAUCCUUGUUUUGUUGUUUACCAUGUCCCUUCUGUUUACAACACCUAGACUCUUUGCCUGCCUACCCUCUCCACCACUUGGUAUCAUAAAGCAAAGAAUCAGCAAAAAAUCGUCAUGCUCACGUUCAGAUUAAUUUUAAUUAGUUUAACCACCUGUGAAAAUCAGCAGAAAACACAGUUUCUAAUAAAGAAGAUUGCUUUUUUUUAUAAAUUUGGCACACUUAAAACAUUACUUUGUUGCUCCUCAUUGGCAGAAAGACUCAGGAGUUUGAACUGUUAAAUAUUGCUAAAGUUGUUAGUCUUUGUUCUCAAAUAAAUCUUUUAGGAAAACUAAGAUUUUGCUCAGGUCUAGGUUUGUGUUGUGUGCCUGAAGUGGCAUUUUCCCUUAAAAUAUAAUGCAGUAUUUAACUCACCAAUAUAUUUUCAGUUUAUUUUCAGUCUUGUAUUGGAUUCAUAUAUUUAUUGGGCUAAUCUGAUUGAUGUAGUUUCUGAUGAAUAAAGUAUAAACUUUCAUUCUUUAUUACUCCUUGACUUAUAACCCUUCCAAACAGCACUGUAGUCUUUUCUUCUGUUACACGUUGAGAUAAAAAUUUUAAUUAUGCCAUUUUCCUACCUAGGGAAGAUUUCACCUCUUAGUGUUGUAGUUCAUUAUCUCUGUAGUUAUAUUAUCUUUUUUUUGUAUACAUUUUGAAAUAUAUAAAUUUUAUGAGCUGCAGGCAUUUAAUUCCAAUCAUUAUGCUAAGAUUAAUAAUUGAAAUCCAGUAGCAAAAAUAGAAUUUGAAGUAUGAAGACAAAAUAUCCAUCUAAAAUAAUGCAAAAUUUAAUAUUGGACUUUCUUAUUGUUUUGUUAUAAGAAAAAUUUAAAAAGUUGACUUUGUAAAUGUAUGACAGAAACUCAAAUUUACAAGGAGAUUAAAUUAUUCUUGAUAAAAAUUGCAGUAAUUAUAAUAAUACAUUAGUAUCUUCUGUAGAUCAAAUGAUCUUUAUCUUAAUAAUAAUAUGGUAGAGGUGUUUAGCAGUUUUGCUUAGUGCAGAGAAGACGUGUAUACCAUAGUCCAUGUUGGACUUUGUAGCUCUAAAAUAUUACCUGAAUAUUUUGUGAAUUUUUUUGUUUGGUGUGUUUUUUUUCUUGUUGGUUGAUUUUUUGAGGUUUUUUUAAUUUUUUUCCUUUCAAAAGGAAACAUAAACUUCACUUAAUCUUAACCACUUUAGAGGCAGCAUUCCAGUACACAGGUGGCCUUUUAUGGGAGAAAGAGAGGGAAAGAAGUAGAACUAACUAAAUACAACUCAAAUAUCUUUAGAAGCUUGCAUUAUUAACUGUUUCUAUAAAGAAAUUUGUGUGAUAUACAAAUUACCAGCAUAAUUUGAACCACAUGAUACAAAGGAAGAAGAGUCCUCUGAUACUUUAGUUGUCUUCUACACUAAAAUAUAGCUGUUUUGGUGACUUUGACAGCCUGAAGUUAAGUAUCUAGUUUCUACUUAGAGUACAAAUUUGGGUAUUUCAGGAAGAAUUCUGCAGAAACCAGCAUAAAGAUCAGGGGCAUAUUUAGGUUAGCCAGAAAGAGAGCCCAAAUGGAAGAGCAUAUUUUCAGUCUCAUGAUGUCCAGUUGUCUCACUUUAGGCCCUGAAUGGACAUGUGUCACAAUUUCAACUACUUCUAGAAGCUAUUCACUUGUCCUGAUCUUGUCCCAUAGAGGUCUCAAGAAAUAUAUCACCUACUUUCUGAUGCUCCAAAUUUCUUACGCAGUAGCAUAGGGGUUACAACACCUGUUUCAGUGCCUGCUGAGAUUUGAAACUUCUUCCACUUCCUAAGCAAAUAUCACUAAGUACCACAAUAGGUCAUUCUAGAAUAGAAACUGCCUUGCUGUAUUUAGUGUUUGAAGUCGUUAUGUAAGGUGCUCAAUGACACUAAAUUCAGUUCUUACUUAUCUCCCUAGUGGUUGCUUUACUUACUCUAUCUUUUCUCCUUUGACCUAGCAUGCAUUUAAUUAUACUGUGCAAAGUAGAGCAAAUUCAAAAGAAAUUCAGAAUACCUUUCACUUGUAGCUUUUGCUAUAGUUUGAUGACUAACAUAAUUACUUUUAAAAAAAAAGCACAGUAUGGAACAGAACCUAGAUCUUUUACAGCUUGGCUGAGUCCAUUAGAUGUUAAUUUAUAAAAUAAGGAAUAAAUUUAAUCUCAAUUUCUUUUCUUUUUUUAGGUGGAAAUAGGUGUGUAUUUCACAAUGCAAUUUUCAAUGGAGUUCUGUAUGUAAGAUAAGGAAAGAUACAACUCAGAUGAUAGGAGCUACACAUAAGAUAGAAAACAAGCUCCUGGAGUGUAGAGCUAGAUGCAAAAAUGUGGACACUUGAGCAACUCUUGGCCAAAAUAAAAUGUCUAGAUGUCUACAAACCUAAAAAUUAAAAUAAACAAAAUACAAGCACCUUCAAAAGUUACCAAAGUUUUGGUCUCAGAAAGUAUUAAAUAUGUGUUUUCAGAAUUUAAAUAGGUUCGGUACUAAUUAUCAGUAAAGUGUAUGUUUAAGGGGUUAAAUAUUUGUAUGGGUUUGAGCUCACUACUGAAAGGCAAAGUACAUAUAAAGUAAUGUUUAAAGUAGAGACAUGAAAGACUAGUCCACAUGUAUUAGGAUUCACUUUUCUGUGAGUAGAAGUCCUAAUUCUGAUCUACAGUUCCACAGCAGUAGGAUUUAAUUUGUCAUUUCCUUGUAACAUGGUACUCCACACUGAGAUUAGAUGUCCCUUCUAAGCAUUGUUACAAAUAUUGUGCCACAGUGAAUAUUGUAUAGCCUUUUCAGAGAAGACCAAGUAUGUUUUAGUACCACAAUAAAGUGAUGCAAAUAACCAUACUCACAGAUAAGUUAUCUAUCUAAAUCACCACCACUUUUUAAAGGUUUUAAAAUACAAUAAAAGCUCAAAUAUUUUUCUCAUCAUAAACUGGAAUUCAAAGUUGAGAUCAACCACCAAUCCACUAAAGACUAUUUUCCUUGAUAUUGUGAAUAUAGGCAGUAAGCAUUAAAAUAUCCAACAUCUCAAGGUUGACAUAUCUAUUAAGAUGUCUCCUUGUUGUGCUGAAAUAAUUUGUGUAAAAGUGUUUGUUCAGAAUGAGACAAGUGUACUGUGCAUAGUUUAGACUUAAUGCUCUUAGACUUUAAUGCUGAGAGGAUUUUGCAUGUGUUUGAACCAUAUUUUUGUUAAAUAUUUCUUUUGUCAUGCUGUGAGGAUAGAAUAUCCAUUUUUCCUGGAAGAUUUUGUUGAGAAGAGACAGGGUUUUUGCUUAGGAAGGCUUUCUAUCUAAAAGGUAACUCUUCCUCAAAGGCAGUUUCAAUGCUUUCUUCCCACCCCUGCAUACCAAGAGAAGUUCUCAACUUCUUUCUCUGAUAUGUGAGAGGAGAGAGAUAACAGAAAUGCUACAGGGUCUCUGCGGCCCCGGGGAGUGUCGAAGGGGCCAGCAAUGAUAAAGCCUGGGAGAGAAUAGGAGGUUUGCCUUUCCCACUGAGGCCCAGUGCUGUCUUGCAGCACCGAGAAGCUUGUAAGUUUUAAUGUCUUUGCCUCUGAAAUAAACCCUUUGAAUCCUUCCCACUGCCUUGGCAUUUGUGGGGAAGAUACCUGCGUAUAUUUUACCUUGCACAUGUAUAUACCUAUCAUAAGCAGAAGUCAGUUGUGCACAGACAAGUACAAACAUCAAGCUGAAAGCUGAUCCAAAUACUUAUAGUUAGCAAAUGUUAAGUUUCUCUAGCAAUAAAACUGUUAAGUUUAAUGCAAAAGAAUCUAAAUUGAAAAAAAAAUUAAAAAAAGAGAGAGUGAAGAAGAGAGUGGGAAGCUUAUAAGAAGCAGACCCUUGGGAACAGAAUACAAGACAGAUGAUAUAGGCUUAUGAUUUUCAAUAAAACAUAAAUCUGAUGCAGAUCUAGAAGGGAAAAGAUGUCAUCAGAACUGCAAAGGAGACUGAUAAAUCCUAGCCCUAACCUGCUUCCUGAAACAUGCAAGAAAUAAAUGACUAUGGGAAGUGGAGUAAUGGAAAUAAGAUUAAAUGUAAAUACAGUAUCCUCAAUGGUGCACAGUAAAAGUUAAACCAAGAAUUUGUCAUAAACUGGAAGAUCAUCAGCCAGAAGUGAAUGAACAAGAAGUUACCCUUAUAAGUGGAUCAGAAGAUGCCCCAAGCAGAAACCAGCUGAGAGAAAGGUAAGUGUUUCUAGAAUAUGCAGGGAAAUAUGUUUCCAGCAGAAAACCUGAAAUAUUAGUAUGACUCUGCACACCACUUCUCUGGAAUAUGAUAUACUACUCUGAUCAGUCAUAUUAAAAAGAAAAAAAAUCAAUCUGCGUGAGUAAAGGUGAGUACUACUGCGGUAACCAAAGGAAUAGAAAGUCCUAAGAGAAGAAUGUUAUUUGUAAAUACAAAAGUGAGUUAAACAGAAGAUGUAAAGAGAUAAAAAUAUUAAACUAAAAAUAAAGGAUUGUAACCUGCACAUGAAUACACCGAGUGAACACUGAAAUGUUUUCACCUGUCUGAGUGGUACUUGAAUGGCCUUUCAUUACAGCUGGCAGGGCUGAAACCCAGGUAUAAGAUGGUUGCUAUUUCAGUCAAGGCCAUUGAAAGUAACAUUCAGUGUUUUCCAAACAAGGAAAUAAACUCAGUGGUUGGAGGGAUUCAGUCCUAUCCAAAGUUGUCAAUUUCUUUGGCCUUCAGACAAAACAGUGAUCUAAUCCAGCCUUGAAUAGAUCUCUCUCUCAUGCCUCCUGCCAAAGGCAAAGAUCCUGAUCACUGUAUAUCCUUCAUGGCUUUGAAAGCCUUUCUUCAGAAAAUCCUUCUUUCUUUUUUAGGCCAGAAUAUUUACAAACUCUUUGUUAAGUUUGUCUUGAAAUUACUUCCACUGUCUUAUUUCAGUAGCAUAAUGUGCUGAGAUAAUAGGCUCAGGUCAGUAUGGUUCUCUGAAAUACCAAGUGCAUUUAUGUUGUUGUGGAAAGUUAUUGAUCAAGUGAGGUAAAUGAGAAGACAUGAUGGGAUAGUGGAAAUUUUGCAGGUUACUAUGAUCUGAGUAUUCAACUAGCAAAAUAAACAUUUGAAUUUAUACUAUCGUGAAUAUAACUGGCUAUUAGAAGUGCAGCAUUUAUAGCGAGCAUCCAGUAGUAGAAGAAUUUCUAAACCAAAAAUAUCCCAGAUAAAAAAGGUCUACAAAUAUACAAGGUGAUCACUUUUGUAAAAUAGCAUUUGACCAUGCAGAGUAAAAAAAACCCCAAAAUAUAAUGUAUUUAUAUUAAUUUUACUUUUGAAUUAUGCAUUUUUUACUUUUUAGCAUCUCAUUUAAGAAGCACAUUUAUAAUCGAUAGGAGAAGUUUGGUUAUUUUCCUGUGCUAUCAUAUACUUUAAAAUAAUUGAGCCUAGAGGUGCAGAGGGAAGCUGCAUUCUUUCUAAUUGAGUUCAUCUGAACUUUUUACAAUCCACUCUCAGAAAAUUUAAUUGAUAAUUAACAGCACUCCAGACCAUCUAUUUGUGAGGCUUUAAAAAUACAUGAAAAGCUGAUGACUCAUUGACUGAAUGAAAAACAGUAUACACAAUUAAUAUAAAGAAAAUCUUGAUUGCCUAAAUCAAAGCUUACUGUGUUAGGCAGACAAAUGAAAUUUGUUACAUGAAGAAUUCUUUAAUGCCCAAAUUGGUUUUCAAAGAGCAAAUAUAUUAACUAUCAAACUAUUCAGUGCCACACCACAGGUCUCCCUUCUAGAGAUCAAAGGGGAGCAAGCAGUCCAUUGCAGCAGGUCAGAGGCUUUGUCUUCUGCAAAUCACAGCUUCCAGCUGCUGACUUCUGGCAUUAGGAAGUAGGAAGUUACAGAUGUUGCAACAUUUAACCACACAUUUUCGUGAAAAAAGUCCAGGCAGAGAUUCUUCAAGAAAUGUGGCCCUUUUUCACCAGUCACUGAGUUAGAGAUAUCCCAAUAUACUUUUCAUCUAAGAAGCUAGUGGAUUUAUUCCAGUGUUGAUAAUAAUGCAUGUACCUCUUGCCUAUAUGCUGAAGAUAAGAAGUUCCAAGAUACAAGUUUAACAACCUUUUGACUCUAUUUCCUGAUUAGGUAAUCUGAGGUACAGGAAUACUGCAACACACUCGCUGGAGUCAAUAUCUGAACAGCAAUAAAUUGAUGCUGACUUUUAGGUUAAAUUUUAGCCUCAAGACCACGCGUUUUCUUUAUGCACAGAAAGAGAAGAAGCACAUAAUAAUGUUGAAUACAUAUAGGAAAUGCUGUAUAUAUAGGUGUGUAUAUAUAUAUAUAAAGACUUGAAAUUCAACUAAGUGUAUGUGCUUCACAGGUUCAUCUACAGGGAAGAUGAGGAGAAUUUUAUAUAACCAUGCACCACUCUUAAGAGGCUUUUUCAAAACAGUUCUUUUUCUCUUGCUAUAGUAAAUAAACUCUAACACUGGAAGGAUAUUGGUAAGAUACAGUAGCUGAGUGUAAAAUCCCAGUCAAACACAGAUGGGAAAAAAAUAACAAACACAGGUGCAUGCUUGACAGAUGUUGAAUAAUUUUUACUUCAGUAGGAAAAGGUUCAGCACAAGACCUUAAAUAAUUUGACACCUUUGAAUGCCAUCAGUCAAACACACAAGCAAGGAAGCCACUAAUCCUGUGGUGAAGAGACAAGGAAGUUAUAUGUUUCUGUUAAAAGAGAGGAAAUAUUAAACUCUGAACAAGAAAGUAAACUUGUUAAUUCCAGCGGGGUUGCCAACUCACCUCUAAAUUUUUGUGUGACUCUAACUUUUUGGAAAUUGAGGUGGAGCCUUUAGAACAACCACAAGGUUGGCAGGAUUAUCAGCCUCUCAAUAAAUAUAUCCUUGUGUGGUUGAUUUCCAUUUGCCAAUUCUCCAGAACAAGUUAAAUUGCAUGAAUGAGCAAUACCGUUGUCAUGAACAACUUAAACAGGUGAAAAACCCAGAAAAUUUUGUCUCCUUUCUUCCUUUCUUAGCAUAAUUCCACUGUAUAUCUUUUUUAACUUGAGAAAAUACAAAUCAGUUAUAAAUACAAAUAAUUUAUAAAAGAAAAACACCUCAGAGCAGCAAAUUACACAGGAAAAAAUAAAAUAUGUAAUACUUAAAAAGUCUAAUUCUCAUUUGUUUCCUGGAAGCCAGUUACAGGAAAGCAAAACACAUGCUAGCGGAAAAAAACAAUAUUCAUCUGAAUUACACAAGGACUUUGAGGCCACUCCUACACAUACAUCUCACAAACAACAUACUCUGACUUCUAAGGAUAUCUGGCAUGGAGAUUUAGUGUGAGCAACUCUUUUGGUGUCAGAUUCUUGUCCCAAGUCUUAAGUCAAUAUGGAAAUGCUUGGCCUGAAUAAUCAGGACUUGUGAUUGCAAUUGACUCCUAAGUUCCAAAAGAACAGCACAAAAUGCUGAAAAUGAUGAAAGGAGGGAAGAGACUUAGAACAGACUCUAUAUUUCUUGUCUAUUUUAACCAGAGCUAACGAGCUCUGGAUCAGAUCUUUAGCAAAUGAGGAGGAUGAAUACACCUGUAAAUGAAGGCUUGGGAACACUGAUAGUGCUGAAACAAAUAGUGGACUAUUGAGGAAUGAUGACAAGAGAUAUAAGCAUUCUUGUGAGCUAUUUGUACAGCAAUUACUAGUAAUUAUUUCUACUGUGAUUGGCAAAAAAUUAUAUUGAUAAUGGGAUUAAGGAUAUGAAGAUUAUUUCAGUAAUUCUUUUGAUUCUCAUUUUAAAGUUUCAUGCUUCUGUCAUAGCAUAGAAACAAGGAAAAUAUGCUUCUGUUAUUACUCAUUCAAACUCUCUUUAGAACAGGAACAGUUGUUUUUGUGUGCUGUGCUCUUUUCCCUUAAUUCACAGAGAUGAUUUGGAUGAGAAGAUUAAUUAGAUUCCUUUUGCUGUUUAUUUCACUUAUUGAUGUUCCCUGCCAGACAAACCAAAGCUACUUGAGAUAUCUAGAGGAAAAUCAGAGAAUUUUAAAAGACCCAAGGCAAAUUAUUUAUUUAUCUUAACCAAAUUUCAAUGGUAUGCUUGUAGUGAAGAGAUUUUUCUGUCUCUAAAUCUCUUGCACAAGUAUGUGUGUAUGCAUGUGUCUUUCUGUUAUGGAUAUAUAUAAGAGUAAAAAAUUAUAACAAAUUUAAAUCAGGAUUAAGGACAAAAGAAGUUUCUGCAUCUCUCAACAAACCAAUUAGAUGGCAACUCUUUAGCAGACUAAUACAAUGUUUGAAAUGAACAGCUCUUUCUAAAGAAGUGCAAAUAAUAUUCUCUCUGAUUAUAGACAUUGUAGCUGAGCGGGGAUAAGAGAUGAUGUAAAUCCAUUAGUGAAGCACUGCUUGCCUUCAUUUCAGUUUAAUAUUUCUUAAAGCUAUAAAAUUGUAUUAUGUUAAUGUAAUGUACAGUCCAAGUGAUAAAGGCAGCUAAUGUGAUUACCACUCACUGUGCUAUAAACCUUUCAGAAAAGCUGCAGAUAAAUUGGUAUUCAACUGUUUCUCAUGAUGAUGAUGUUAUAUAGAGCAGUUAACAUGUUGAAAGCAUCUUCUGUUCUUUUGGGACAUUCUUAGAUGCCAAAAUGUUUAAGUAGAUACUAGAACUGACCUUCAAAGCAGUUCAAAAAUAUGGUAAUGCGUAGGUACUGACUUCCCUAUUGCUCACUUGUAAAUACCUGUACUUUGGUGUUUAGAGGUAACUCAAUCUAGAUCAUCAGCAGAAUGCUGAUGAGAACAUCAGCAGAAUAGGACUAGGAAAACUGUUGCGCAGAUUCAUACCCAGCCACACACUGUCUUUGUUCUCCAAAAUGGAAUCCAUGCUUGGAGACAUUCACCCAGUUUUCCUGAAGGCAAUAAGCUUAAUGGCCAACAGUAGUAACUGAAGAAGGGUAAAUUGAUCAAAAUAUAGGAGGAACUAGGUUUGUUCAACCCGGAAAAGGGAAGGUAGCACAUAACAGGAGCCUGGCGAUACCUAUGAGAAGUCAUGAAGCCUGAGUCAGUCUCUUCACACUGGUUUGUGGCAGGGGAACAAGUGGAUAUAAGGGAAAUAUUUUUCUUCAUCAGGACUGUCAAACAGUGUAGCAGAAUGCCCAUAGCAGUUGUGAAGUGUCCAGUCUUAAAGCUUUUCAAGACCGACUGUAUAAAGUGCUGAGGAACUUGGUUUGACCUCAUGAUUGUUUCAACUUUGGCAGGUCAUACUUAAGGUCCCUCCCCGGUUGUCUUAUGUUGUGAUACUAUGAUUCUGUAUUUUCAGUGCAACGUUACCUAGUAGUGAGAUGUCAGAGAAUAGCAAGGGGGUGGCAGUGAUAGAAAAUUAGAGGGAAAUAAAUGGAGAGCUAAGUGCAAUUUAUUAUGGAAGUCAUUCUCCAGACAUUUAAAUUGUUAGAAAAUUGCCUUUUACUAUCCCAUAAUAGGCAAAGAUACCUUGGCUAAGAAUUUAGGAAACAUCAUUAACUUGAAUUGAUAAUUGGAAAGAAGACUUGUGGAGAUACUUUAUGAAUAAUACUGAACAGUUUCUUGAUGUUACUUAUGGAAGAAGCACACGUUAUUCACAUCUCUCUUCAUCCUCUUGUCUUGCCCACUGUAUUACUUUAUUCAUACCAGAUUGUAUGUAAGCUUAUGCAGACAUAUAAUUCCUUUCUGCCCUCUGACUCAAGAAAGGGGCUAAAAUCUACUAGAAAAUAUACCAGUCUAAAAAAUUAAGAACUCAAAAGAACACGCAUAAUAAGUAUCACUUUCAAAGAGAGAUGGGAGCAAAAUUCCCAAGCCUAGUUACAGAUGUAGACAUCUCCCAAUACUUCCCAAAUCCUUGUAUCUAGGGGCUUAACUGUAUCUAAUGUCAUGAGACUCAGUAGCAUAUUAAAGCUUAAAAAGUCAGGGUAAAGCAUUUCAGUUUCUUUCUAAUGGUGAUUAAUUAAUUUUGUAUUCAUUUGAGUAACAUUAAUCAGAAUUAAUUCAUUUAGCAUGAAUGUGGAUAGAACAUUUAAUUUCUUCUGCACUUCAGGAGAACCUAUUUGAAUGAAUAAUUGUACAAAAACGAAUAGCAGAGAGAAAGGAAUUGAAAGUUUGCGUGCCAGAUAUAAAUUGUACAAUAAAAUAACAUAAAUCCACGAGUACUUUAUUUGUUCAACUUUAAUAAGUGGCACAUUCACUCCAUGUAAAUACAGUAUAGGAAAUGUAUAGUCCUGUGCCAUGGGAAACAUACAACAUGAAGUUGAUUUAUGUCUUGACACAUGUCAUUAAUUCAGUAGUGACAAUCAAUAACAACUUCAAAGAAGUAUCAUAAAAAUACUAGCAGAUCUGCCAUUUUUUGUUUAAAAUUGAGGAUUUGCCAUUCUUCCUUUUUCCAGACUCAGGCAGCAACUGUUACAUAAGAAAAUCUCAGUACUUCAAAGCCUACCAUGAUACGGUUCUUCAGAGAAUGUUUUUCGACCUAUCCAAUCACUUGGAAUUGCUGCCUUCUUCCCUUUGCUCAUAUUUUUUUUCCCCCAGAUUCUGUUCUCUAGAGAUCACGUUAGACUGACCAACAUUUAAGGUUCUGAAGCAGUAUCUGAAAUCAUUACUUUCAAGAAAAGAAUCUUAUUUUUUAAGUAGACUCACUGAAGUAAUUUGGAUGACUUUUCAAACUGUUAGCUAGAAUUGAAAAGUUAUGAGACUCAAAGCCUUGUAAACCACAUCCCUGAUGUGGAUGUUUAGUAUUACUCAGAGUUCAAUGACUCAGUCACAGAUUAGGUAGCUUCCAAAAGUUUCAAACUACAGCUCCAGAAAAUUUAUGCCUAAAGCCAAGAAACCAGAUCAGAUGUUACCAAGUGCUGAGUUCUUAGUUUGUGGAUUAUCUAUGAGGUGAACUUAAUUGUGCAGAAGUAGACUCACAUCUGUAAUGUAAAUAAAGGAUUAGGAGUCUGGUUCCUAAAAUAAUAGCAAGGAAUAAAAUGUAUUUUGCUAUGGAAUUUAUUAUAUUUAAUGAAAAUAUAAAUUGGGUGGAUUUACCUUACCGAGCUGCAAGUGGCUAAUGACCUCAUCUUUCCUAGAAAGGAUGAGCACCAGAUAAAAUGCAGAAUAUGUUCUUCCCUCUACUGACCAAAAGGCCAAAAGCUUUCAUGUGAGUUAACUUUUUAACUUCACUUUGAAAUGUUAUUCAACAAAUGCAUCAGUGCUAGGGAUUUCCAAAUUUUCAUCUUAAUCACAUUGUAUUAUUUAUUUUCUUGAUACUGAAACUGUAUCCAAUAUUUUUUGGCUUCAGAUGUGGAGGACCAUCCUUAUCAUCCAUAUUCUAUGUCAUGUAAAUUCUUUCAAUAAAGUCAGGGCUAAGAAAACAGCAGCCAGAUUAAGGUUUAUCUUUUGACAUAUUUUAUAUAUGUGUUUCUGUAGUUUUUAAGAUAGAAAAGUUUGAAAAACCUCAAAUAUUGUGACAGCCUUUUGGGUUUAGAAAGAAGUUCUGUAAUUCAUGACAGCUUCUAACAAGUCACUCCAAAUCUCUGUAGAUUUGGAAGUGGUAACAUUUACAUUGUUGAGCCCUUCGGCAUAUUGCAUGUCGCAAUUUCUUAGACUUGGUUUCCAGUGUGAUGGAUUGCAACCAUAAUGAUAUCAUUAGUUCAGUUUCACAUGCUUUUAGACAUAAAAAUCAUGUUGAUUUGUAAGGAAGUUAAAUAUCACUUUGAGCAUCAGGAAUCAAACCCUCACAUUUCAGUGAGGAAAUAGUGAGAAAUUUUUGUUAAUGAAAUGUCAACAAAGGCUUGAUAUUACAUUCUCCUGAAACACUAAGCUAUGGAGAGAGAAAAGCUAGUUAAUACAAUAUAUUGUUUAUUAAUAUAUCUUGCAGUGCUGAAGAUUUUUUGCAACUCAAACAUAUUUUUGUUUUAGAUUCAGAAUACAGAAUAAUAAAGAAAAAAAUUCUAAUACACUUUAUUUCCUGUUCUUGCUGGUGACACAAGGAUGCAUUUAAUACACUGUGGAAAGAGAACAGAAUCAGCAGCUGUCUUACCUGGGAAAAGAGCUUAGUGUGCAAGCAAAUCCUUGAUUGCCCAAUCAAAGAGAAGAGAUGAAGCAUAUACUGCCCUCAAAUGAUAACUAGAAACUGGCUAUGUUCAUUACCAAAAUACCCAAGUCCUUAUCAGCACAUCUUGCAGUUUAUACCUCUCAUGCAAUUUACAAAUCUUGAAUAAUCUGACAAGGGCUGAUUUCAGAUGUGGUUAGCAGUCUUGUAAAUAAUCUUCAUGGGGUGAGAGGGGGAAAGAAAGGCAAAUUAAGACCCUGAAGGGCAGUUUCUCAGAUGGCAGCUUGCAAUGGCAGUUUGACAGAUUUUCAGGUGUUGUGGAAGAAUUAUAUGUAAUAACUGUAUGGAUCACUCACUUUCCUCCAAGGAUUACAUAUUUCUUAAAGUGUCAUAAAUACAAAGCUGUGGGAAGCAUUGCCAGGUAGGAAAAUACGAAAUUCGAUUUUAUUUCCCUUGCAACUCAUUUGCAUAAUGUAAUCUGGUAGGUUGUGUUUAUCAGUGGUGGGCAGACAGUUCAAACAAAUGCUCAACAUAUGUAUACCAUCAGCAGCAAAAGGUCAUGGUCUUAGCAGGCAGUUAAAAGAGUAAAGAAAGGCCGGCAUGCCUGCAUUCUCCCUGCAUCAUAUUAACAGCAAAUCAUAGGUCCCUAACAGAAUAUCUGUCAACUUGGAAACAUUUGCUGAGCAUUUUGUUCUGCCUGAUAUAGACUCUUCAAGUAAGUCAUUAUACUGGGAGGCAGCUACUGCCAUUUCAAAAAGUAUCUUGAGACUACAGCAAUUUCAUAUCACUGUAAUUCAACAGCAACUAACUAACAAAUUAGCUAAGUGCACACACUCCAUCCAGUAUGACUGUUUCCAUGGUAAUUGGAUACCCAGUCAUUUUGCUGAAACCUGUUUGCCAGACAUUGCUAAGGACUAGGCAGUAAAUCCUCAGACUUUUCCUUUCUAUGUUUGACUGGUAGGCACGUUGAAUAAUUAACUUUCACAAUUUCCAGAUUCAUAGUAUCUGAUGCUGACUAUUCACAUCCCAAAAGCAGGCUGAUAACUUGUGUUCUGACUUUCUUUCCUUUCAUUCAAUGUCUAAUGAAACAUUAUAAGUUAAACCCCUUGUCUCCUUACACUAACAUACUCCAGUAAAAAUACCUGUUUGACUCAAAACAUGCAGGAUCUUACACAGGGAGUUGUUUCACCACUAAUAGUAGUCAGUGCAUCUAUUGAAGGAUUUAAUCUAGUGUCUUCCCACAAAGGAGGCUUAUUUAAAAUCUGUUAUCUUUUGUCAACUUACUCUAAUUUCUGAGUGUAAAACAACUUUAGUCCAUGAGAACAGUUACAGAAUGAGCUAUAGCCAUAUUGAGGAUGAAACAGGAAACGGGACAAGGGAAAGAAAAAAUGAACUGUCCAAUAUCUUUGAUAAACUGAAAACAAGCGUUAUGACAAUUGUUUUCUGUGCCUGUUCUUACCCAACCUUUCUUCUAAAUGAUCUGUUUAUGUGCCAGUAAAAAAACAGGUCCUAUUUUUAAUCUCAUAUUCCAUCUGCUUUGGGAAUUACUGCUAAGGGCAGGUGGCAAAUGAGUUCUUUCUAAUUGUCCAAUCUUCUCCAUGGGACAAAUUCUGCCUCCUUGUUCAGGCUGAGUAGUUCUUUACCAGUCUUGGAAUAGAGUAAGGAAUAGCUCCAGCUGAGUACAUGUGACAGAACCUGACUCAGUAUGAAAUGAGGGCACAUACGGUUUAAUGUUACAUGUCUGACGCACUCGAUUUAUUAUGAGAUAAUAAUUUUAGAUGGAAGAUUUCAGCACAAUAAACCAGAGCAUGACUUAAAAGCAUUUGCUUUAUGACUAGUCUUUUUAGUGGCAUGUCUACAUACAGUUGUUUCCAUACCUGUUAGUAUAAUUGUGUUUUGUUGAAUAUAAUGCUUUGAAAAAGAUUGUAUUUCAAGUGAGAAUGAUUUUUUUUUACAGAGUCAGGUUCUAACCUGGAAAACAUCAUAUGAAAGAAAUGACAGCUUGAGGUCUAUAUUCAUCAAUCUGAUUUGUGAAUACCAAGAUUUUUACUGUCAUUUCAGUGAAAAUCCAAAUCGGGUGUAUACCUGAUUGAGUCUUGCAUCUUCAGACACACAUUAAUACAUAUACAUUGUUAUAUAUACUUAUACAUAAGUAUAUUCAUGCAUAUAAGCAUGAUAUAAGUACAUAUAAAGUCUCUGACAAGGAGGGCACUGAUGAUUUUUAAGAGGCUUAUUUGACAUAAUAAUAAUUCAUUGAUCUCCCUUCCUUAUUGAGGGCUGAUAAUAGAAUAGUCUGAGGGGAAGAAUCCAUGCCAGACUCUUGGAUCAAAGGCUUUACCUCUUUGCUCACAUAGGUGCUGAAUCCAUGGCAUAUUUCCAAGUAAAAGUGCCUGCAGCAACAUUUGCUAAUUACAGGUUGUGUUCUACUGUUUCCAAACAGGGUGAAAGUGACAGAAGUUUAACUGUAAAUAAUUACACACUUGAAAUCAUGGAAUACCUCUUGUUGGAAGGGACCUGUAUGGAUCAUCUCCAGGCUGAACAGACCAAGUUACCUCAGCUACCCCUUGAAAGUCUUGCCUGAGAGGCUUUCACCAUCUUGGUUAUCCUGCUCUGGACAGUCUAAUAGUUUGAUUUUCUUCUUAUAUUAAGGCACUCAAAAUUGCACACAGUACUUGAGGUGGUGCCUUGCUUCACCUCUGCAGAGCAGAGAGAGACAAUCCCCUCCAUCAACUGGCUAUGCUGUCCUUGAUGCACACUGUGGGCCCUCCUGGCUGUCAGGGCACACUGCUUACUCUUAUUCAAUCUGUCAUAAAUUCAAACCCAUCAAUUUCAACAGGGCUGCUUUCCAGCCUUUUAUCCCCCUAUUUACAAGUAAAACCAUGAUUACUCCAUCCCACGGUGCUUGUUCUUACUAAAUUUCAUACAGUUGAUGAUAUCCAUCUCUCCCUUUAAGGCUCCUCUACUCGCAAGGGUGUACGCAGCUCCUUCUAAUUUAGUUUAAUUGGCAAAUUCAUUUAAUGUACAUUCAAGUUAUUUCAACCAGAAAAAAAAGUUUUCAUACACGACUAAUAAAAACUUAGUGAGAAGUCAAGAAACGGUAAUGAAGUCUGCUUAAAUAUAUAUGAUAUCUGUUAUUAUUAAUUAUGUUGAUUAUUGCUAUGACUAGGAAAUAAGUAAGAGGAAAACUACAGAUUUGCCUGGCCAAACGUGGAGUAGUCCCACCUCCAUAGAACAUGCACUAUAAACAGAUGAGUAAGAAUAGAGACAAUCAAGUCAACUGAACUAUGUGCUGUCAGCAGAUGUUUUUCCAGAUUUUUGGUGGAGCUAGGAUUCUAGGUAGAAGGCAAAUAAGUUAAUUAACUAGAAAGGAAUGAAAGGUCUGUCAGAAGCAGAGAGAGAAAGGGAUGGAAAGAGAUAAAGUGAGAAAGAAACAGAGACUCAAAGUAUGCUAUAGGCUCUUCCUUUCACUAGGUCAGACAUUUCCCUCUGAUGGAGGUCAGGCAGAUCAUAAUUCAUGACACAAUUGAAGCUCUCUUGCUGGCUUAAGUUUAGAAUUUAGAGCUAUUCACCACUUAAAAAACACACAAUAGAGUAAAUACUACUUAAUUGCUUCUGCAAUUAGUCCACUUAUCAUUCAGCCAGUAAUGACAGUUUUCACUUCCUCGGUCAUACAGUGACUAACUGUUACUUUUAGGUGGUAUCCCAUACCACCUACUUUUGGAUGGCAAACUGCACCAGAUUGCCAGAAACUGCUCUUAAUAUAUGUCAGCAUUCUUGUCUGAAAUAGUCUUAAACCUCUCCACUCACCGAGUACCUCUUUUACCACAUGAAAAUAUGACUAAUUUAAAAUAUUUAUUAAUUAAUAUUUUUACAUUUAAAAGUUACAUUUGCUUCUCCCAAACUUGCAGCACAACACAUUAUUUUUGAAUUUAAUAAUAUAUCCACUGUUUUCCAUGGUUCCCUUCCCUUCCAAAACCUUCCCUUCCCAAACCAUCCAAAACCUUUCCUUCCCUUCCAAAAUCUUCCAAAUUAUGGCAGAUUCAUGUGUAUCUUAACAUAAACUUCACCCAUCAGAAAUCAGAUUUAAUCUCCUUUUGAAAGGAGUUAUGAGAUUAGGUUUACAGCUAGUAUCUGUCUUAUACAUUUUACUUAUUUAGUGAAUCCAUUAGUUUUCUUUUGUUGGAGGGAGAAAUUUUAAUAUUAAGAGCUAAUUACAGAUACCUAAAGAAUGACAUAUAAUUUUUUUUUGGUAGGUUUUCUUAGAAAAGCAGCUAAUAAUGUAAGAGGCAUCUGACUGGAAGCUAGUUUUUUGCUGGCUACCUAAUACCAUUCCCAGGGUGCCAUCCCUCUCAUGCUUGUGGCAGUGGUUAUGUUUCACUCCUUAUCGCUUUUCAGUGCUAACAGUGAAUAAAUGAAAACGCCUUUUCCCUGGUCGUUUCCCUAAAUGUGCUCAUGGCCUUUGCCUUAUGUAUAGGCAAGCUGACAUUUUUCCCAACAUAAAGAGCAUAGAAAUGCUGGCAGCUACAGGGCUGUGGCACAAACAGCCAAACUGAUUUUCACAAAUGGACACACAAGUGUGUAGGUCUCUGUCAGAGAUUCUAAAUCAGAAAGUAUGUCAAACAGCUGCUCUGCUAUUGUCCCAACUUUGCCUUCACUGGGCAAUAAAACAAGUAUCAUUUGCUUUUGGUAAUCAACAUUUAUUUCUGCUUUGCAGUUGAUACAAACAUUGAAAAUAGCUGGUCACAAUAGACUUCAUGAUCCAGCUGCCAAAUGACCACAUAGAUAUUUCUGAGGCACCUUGCAGAUUAAGGCACCAGGCACAAUAAAGACACAUAUGGUGCACAAAAACGGGAACUGGACUGUACGUGACAAUUAACUGGACGAAGAUUGCAAAGCAGGCCUUGGAAUGGCAUUCAAAAUGAAUGGAAAUAUCCAAUUAUCAAACUCAGUGAAAUCUCCACAGCUGAUGGUGAUUGACUGUUUUCUAAGCACUGAUACUGAAAAAAAAAUGGUUCAAAACUAGCAAAGCUUGUAAAAAAUCAUUAUCCUUUCUAUGUCUUCCUGCUAGCUCUAGGAAGCACAUUACAAAGUUAUGCUUACUUUACAUGUUUACUAUUUUCAGAUACCUCUCUCCUUUAUUAGGAUAGGUACUUGCUGAGCCUGAGUGAAGGGUAAGAAAGUUCUAACUAGGUUAUUUACUGUAAUGUUACCAUAGCUACUUUUUUUUUUUUUUGGCAGCAUGAACUUACACAAAUAUAUUGUGGGCUUCAUAACUAUAUUUUCCCUAACAUUUCUCUGUUCAACUCUUAAACACUCUUCCGGUAAUUUUUCAGAUUUUGGUCUUUAGGGGUAAUUCAAGUGAUCUACUUUUUUGGAGAUGUGUCUUGACAGCAUUUUACACGAUAUAUUCAUGCUCUUUAUUCUAUCAUUCCUUCUUUCUACUCUAGUUAUUGUUUUCUAUAUCUGUGUGAUUUGUAGUGUCCUGCUUUCUUUUUGAUUGAACAUCUAUUAUUUCACAUUGGUCUGUUUAUUGUUCUCUCAGGCUAUUGCCAAAAUAUUUCUUAUAUAACAGUUAAAAAAUUAUAUAUGAUGCAAAGCAAGUAAAGAACCACAUGACAAUAAUUUGGGAUUUUUAAAAGCCAGAUUCCAUUAACUCUUCAUCAUAUACUUGUUAAAUAGCCUUAUCUUGGCACCCCCAUUACUAAGAUGGUCCUGGCAUCUUUAAACUGAAUCUGCUGGCUGUGCAAGCUUACCUGGGUCUCAGGGUUCAAACCUUCAGACUGGAUGUGAGACUUGCUGGUUGCCAAAGUAGGAUCCUCAGAAGUGGGGUUCUUGGAGCUGCUACACCAGAACAACCUGAUCCUGUCCUUAAAGGAGCACUCACAGAUAAGGGCCAAAUAUAUGGCAGAGGGGAAGCUAUUGUGUACUCCUCACUACAGCCUGUCAGUUUUAUUCUUGGUGAUGUUAGAAAUCUGAUUUUAAAUCCUUUAAAUGGAUCAACUGGACAAUUUUCCUUCAUCUCCUCCCUUUCUUAUUUUCAGUAUUAUCUAAUGUCAUACAAAACUAGAAGUUUUCUCCCUACUGCCUAAUUGCUUACUCAAUUCUGCUAGAUCUGCAAAAAUUCCACCUUCCUAGAAACAGAGGCUUUAGAGGAUUUUUCAUAAUUAAGGAUGUUUGAUCUAUGAAUUUUUUUCACAACUCUUAAAAAAAGUAAGUAUAAUACAGGUAAUAGGGGGCAGAGGUUUUUUUCCCUAAAGGAAAUUAAUUACUUCAACUCUUAUUUUCAUCCUGAAUUAGAAUGACAAGGUAAAGCAUAAAAUUUCUUCCUGCACUGUAAAUCUUUAAAAAAAUCUUUCCUUUAAGCAACAUGCUAAUUUUAGUUUUUAUAGUCAUACCUGCUAAAAUAUUGCAGUUAAGUAACUGUGGGUCAGCUCUCUGGGAUAUCCUGGACAGAAGGAUGGUGCAUGCAUGUAUACUGAGAUGCACAGGAGUAACAGCUGUUUGUCUGGGUUAUCCAGCUGUCCAGCAGCUCAGUCUUAGUUACUGUCACAGUUCCAUCAGGGAUGUGACUAAGGGUGGCAGGGUGGGCAGGAGGAUUCAUGGAUAUGACUACUGCUAUUACAAUGGGGUUUUUUUAUUCAUCAAGCUGCUGUUGGAUGCUUGCUUUCUUCUCAGUGUUAUACAAACCUGAAUACCACAGGGAUUUAUUAUAAUUCCAUAUGAACUAUGGACUCCAAAUGUGGGGUAAGCUAAAUCUCUCAUAUUAUAAUCCGUCCUAGGAGCUUUAGUCAUCCAUUCAGAAGGGAAACUGAAUUACUUUAUGGCAGAUAUAAUUAAAUCAAUGAUUUCUCUCUGUAGAAAAGCUCUAAGAGUGAUCCUAAAGAAUGCUGUUAUAUGCUUCUAUAGGGACUAACACAGGGACAAAAAAUAUUUAAACACUUUUUGAUUUCAUUUUUGCAAAUGAAAACGUUAAGAAUCAGAUUUACUUGCCCCAAGAUAAAAUAUUAUAUUUAAAAUUACCUAAAACAAACUUGAACGUUGUGGUAAAAUCAAAAUUUUAACAGAGACAACUUCAUCACAAAAAAUGUUGAGCAGAAAUUGUCCAAAAAUUCAACAAGUUUAUUUUGAUAUUUCAAGUCAUUGCAAACUAUCAACACCUUUAUUGAACUCCUCUGUUAGUAUCAAUAUUAAAAAGAGAAUAUUAACAGAUAAAUUACUCUUAGGUUUCAUUCUAUUCCCUUUAACAUUCUUUACUCAUCCUGAAAUUAGUAAAGUAUUAUUAAUGAUGUUCUCUAGUCUUUACAAUUAACAUUGUUCCUCAAAUUGUCUCAGCUCAGAAAAAGUGAGACAUUUCUCAUAUUGUAUCUACAUGGUGAUGUAAACUAGCAGAAGAUAUAGCAGCCUUGUAAAUACCCAAAUCUUUGGGUACAAAUUAGUCAGAGUUGAUAUGAACAUCAUGAAAUCCUUUGUCUUUAGAAUUUCCCUGUAUUAUAUCGUGGUGAGCUAUUUGCAUGUGAAUACUGUGAGUAAGCAAUGGUUUCUUACACUAUGUCACACUAUUCCUAUUAUUUCUCUGAAAUUAUAUCCAUAUAGUCUCUAUUAAAAUUGCCAUACCACAACUGCCAUAUUAGAGUGUAAAAAUAAAAAUUGCUGAAAAGUAAAUUAAUUGAGCUCAAAAUUUAAGAUAGACUGGUUCAGGAGAAUCAAUGGAAAGGGACUACAAAUGAAAAUGGUGGUACAGACAAUUAACACUUAAUGGAGACAGUGAAAGUGGAAUCUAUGCAUUUGCAACAACAGUCACCCAGCAGUGACUCCAAACAUUCAGACUGGGCAAUACAGGAGGAAGAAGGGAAUUGAGUUAGAAAGUAAAGGAGAAAAGAAGGAGGUAUGACAGGUGAAAUAGGUGAGACCUGUGGUAGAAUAAGAAAGUAAGCAGUAUGUGAGGCAUUGAGGAAGAAUUAUUUAACAAAGAGGAGAUGGAUGCAGAAGACAGAAUCACUGAAUUCCUUACAAUUCAAGAAUAUUUAAUGUUCCAAACUUUACUGCCUUCCUGAUUUUUUAAAUCCUAUAUCUUCUUUCAAUUCCUUUCAUGUUGCUAUUCAUAUUCUAAAUAACAAGGCAUUUUUAUCCUUUAGAAAACCAACAGACUCUACUGUUUGUUGCACAAUACCUAAGCUAUCAUUGUGUCAGGAUUAUGAUAAAAGGCUGACUUGAUUUAUGAAAAUAUAAUGUGAAUUUUUUUUUACCCCAACGACGGCUAGAGAGCUCUAAGAGAAACAUAUAGAUUAGGACCCAGAGUCAGCAGGAUAAUGAACUACUUUCUAUGAGUCUUUGGCAGUUUGAGGUACACGCUACAGAUUUUCCAUACAGAAUACUUUAAAACUCUUGUACAUUUUACCAUCUGCCCUAGAGUUCUAUUUCCAGAUAACUUGUUGAUCUUUACAACAAUGAUCUUGUAGUAUCACCAUCUAUUUGCAAAUAGUAGUUAUAUUUUAGCUCAUUCUUUUGCAACAGAGAGAGUUAUUUUCAGGAAUACUUAUACUCACAUAUUUAGCUACUUCCUUUCAGUGGCCUCCACACUAUAGCUUAAUUACUCCUAAAAAGAAAGUGCUUUGUUUCUCAGCUUUAACAGGUGUAGCAAGCUUUUACAGAAGUAGUCUCAGUGGAAAAGAGAGUUUGAAAGGCUUCAAAGCCCUCUUUCUAAAAACGCAUGAGGAAAAUUUGGUAGGAGGCUGAUCCCAAGUAUUCAGUUAUAUCUUUUGUGUUUUAAGUGUUUUAAGUCAGGACCUCAAUAACUAAAGUCAAGAGUUCUUUAGUUUUUGAAAUUUUUUUUCCUCUUUGCUCAUAAGAAAGAGCUUAGCUAUAUGACAAAUUCAAAACACAUGCACACAGACAGGCAUAGAUGUCUCUCUCCUUAGCUUUCCUUCCCAAGCCAUUAAAACCAAGAUCAACAAAGUUGAACUGCAGGGCAUUGUGGUUCUUUGAUUUCUGACUUAUAGACUAAAUGUCCUUCAAGGCUUUUAUAAAUUUCUCAACAAAAUAAUUAAGGGAGAAGCUUUUAGUUCACUCCUGCAUUACUCUGUGAGAAUGCCUCUUAGGUCAGAUUGGAGCUGCUCAAUGUUUCUUGCUGAAACAAGCAAGAAGUUGGAUAAAAUUAUCAGACACUAGCCCAGUACAAACAAAAGGUACAUUUGACAUAAUGUUUAACUAAACUGUAGAAAUCAUUAGUGCAGACUGUUGUGAAUGACAACAUUUCAUAAGGAUUCAAUAGUGAUUAGAUGUUCGAGUAGAAGCUGUUUUACACAAAGUCCUGGGAAUUCUACAGAAAAAAACUUGCACUUGAUAAACUUCCUCCACUAAAUAUUUACUAUUGGCCAUUUUGGAGUCAGAAGAGAGGGCCAACUGCAUUUUUUUACAUCAACAUGGUCAUUCCUAUGACAUGUUCCAUGCUCACAAACUGGUGUGCAAAAUAAAUUCUUCCACUUUCUAA
Molecule: long non-coding RNA, 21647 nt
Organism: Pseudopipra pipra
Lineage: Eukaryota; Metazoa; Chordata; Aves; Passeriformes; Pipridae
Exons: 2
Source: RefSeq, a predicted model, not a curated record